UACGUAGGGUGCAGGCGUUAAUCGGAAUUACUGGGCGUAAAGCGUGCGCAGGCGGCUCCUUAAGUCAGAUGUGAAAGCCCCGGGCUUAACCUGGGAACUGCGUUUGAAACUGGGGAGUUAGAGUGUGGAAGAGGGGGGUGGAAUUCCAGGUGUGGCAGUGAAAUGCGUAGAGAUCUGGAGGAACACCGAUGGCGAAGGCAGCCCCCUGGGCUAACACUGACGCUCAUGCACGAAAGCGUGGGGAGCAAACAGG
RNAcentral lists this ribosomal RNA (253 nucleotides) under uncultured bacterium. RNAcentral's name for it is "partial 16S ribosomal RNA". It matches the Rfam family "Bacterial small subunit ribosomal RNA", at positions 524 to 776 of the family's 1533-position model. The record is from RNAcentral.